CUACGGGAGGCUGCAGUGGGGAAUAUUGCACAAUGGGCGCAAGCCUGAUGCAGCCAUGCCGCGUGUAUGAAGAAGGCCUUCGGGUUGUAAAGUACUUUCAGCGGGGAGGAAGGGAGUAAAGUUAAUACCUUUGCUCAUUGACGUUACCCGCAGAAGAAGCACCGGCUAACUCCGUGCCAGCAGCCGCGGUAAUACGGAGGGUGCAAGCGUUAAUCGGAAUUACUGGGCGUAAAGCGCACGCAGGCGGUUUGUUAAGUCAGAUGUGAAAUCCCCGGGCUCAACCUGGGAACUGCAUCUGAUACUGGCAAGCAUGAGUCUCGUAGAGGGGGGUAGAAUUCCAGGUGGAGCGGUGAAAUGCGUAGAGAUCUGGAGGAAUACCGGUGGCGAAGGCGGCCCCCUGGACGAAGACUGACGCUCAGGUGCGAAAGCGUGGGGAGCAAACAGGAUUAGAUACCCCGUAGUC
This 463-nucleotide ribosomal RNA is filed under the name uncultured bacterium. RNAcentral's name for it is "partial 16S ribosomal RNA". It matches the Rfam family "Bacterial small subunit ribosomal RNA", at positions 339 to 795 of the family's 1533-position model. The record is from RNAcentral.